Molecule: transfer RNA, 75 nt
Filed under: Mesocricetus auratus (golden hamster)
Lineage: Eukaryota; Metazoa; Chordata; Mammalia; Rodentia; Cricetidae
Rfam family: tRNA
About the family: Transfer RNA (tRNA) molecules are approximately 80 nucleotides in length.
Source: Rfam by way of RNAcentral
GGGGAUGUGGUUCAAUGAUAAGAAUGUUUGCCUGACAUGCACAAGGCUCUCUGGGUUUGAUCCCCAGCAUUGCAA